RNAcentral lists this ribosomal RNA (1350 nucleotides) under uncultured bacterium. Its description in RNAcentral is "bacterial SSU rRNA". It matches the Rfam family "Bacterial small subunit ribosomal RNA", at positions 28 to 1381 of the family's 1533-position model. The record is from RNAcentral.
AUUGAACGCUGGCGGCAUGCCUUACACAUGCAAGUCGAACGGCAGCGCGGGGCAACCUGGCGGCGAGUGGCGAACGGGUGAGUAAUAUAUCGGAACGUACCCUGGAGUGGGGGAUAACGUAGCGAAAGUUACGCUAAUACCGCAUACGAUCUAAGGAUGAAAGUGGGGGAUCGCAAGACCUCAUGCUCCUGGAGCGGCCGAUAUCUGAUUAGCUAGUUGGUAGGGUAAAAGCCUACCAAGGCAUCGAUCAGUAGCUGGUCUGAGAGGACGACCAGCCACACUGGAACUGAGACACGGUCCAGACUCCUACGGGAGGCAGCAGUGGGGAAUUUUGGACAAUGGGCGCAAGCCUGAUCCAGCAAUGCCGCGUGAGUGAAGAAGGCCUUCGGGUUGUAAAGCUCUUUUGUCAGGGAAGAAACGGUGCUUUCUAAUACAGAGCGCUAAUGACGGUACCUGAAGAGUAAGCACCGGCUAACUACGUGCCAGCAGCCGCGGUAAUACGUAGGGUGCAAGCGUUAAUCGGAAUUACUGGGCGUAAAGCGUGCGCAGGCGGUUUUGUAAGUCUGUUGUGAAAUCCCCGGGCUCAACCUGGGAAUGGCAAUGGAGACUGCAAGGCUAGAGUUUGGCAGAGGGGGGUAGAAUUCCACGUGUAGCAGUGAAAUGCGUAGAUAUGUGGAGGAACACCGAUGGCGAAGGCAGCCCCCUGGGUCAAAACUGACGCUCAUGCACGAAAGCGUGGGGAGCAAACAGGAUUAGAUACCCUGGUAGUCCACGCCCUAAACGAUGUCUACUAGUUGUCGGGUCUUAAUUGACUUGGUAACGCAGCUAACGCGUGAAGUAGACCGCCUGGGGAGUACGGUCGCAAGAUUAAAACUCAAAGGAAUUGACGGGGACCCGCACAAGCGGUGGAUGAUGUGGAUUAAUUCGAUGCAACGCGAAAAACCUUACCUACCCUUGACAUGGCCGGAAUCCCGGAGAGAUUUGGGAGUGCUCGAAAGAGAACCAGUACACAGGUGCUGCAUAGCUGUCGUCAGCUCGUGUCGUGAGAUGUUGGGUUAAGUCCCGCAACGAGCGCAACCCUUGUCAUUAGUUGCUACGAAAGGGCACUCUAAUGAGACUGCCGGUGACAAACCGGAGGAAGGUGGGGAUGACGUCAAGUCCUCAUGGCCCUUAUGGGUAGGGCUUCACACGUCAUACAAUGGUACAUACAGAGCGCCGCCAACCCGCGAGGGGGAGCUAAUCGCAGAAAGUGUAUCGUAGUCCGGAUUGUAGUCUGCAACUCGACUGCAUGAAGUUGGAAUCGCUAGUAAUCGCGGAUCAGCAUGUCGCGGUGAAUACGUUCCCGGGUCU